GAAGAUAGAGGUUGCGUGUUUCAAGAGUAUUUUUUCUGAUGUGGCAGGCACAGCUGAAGAAGGAAGAAAGGGAAAUGCGCCGAAAGAGGAGAUUGCCUGCAAAUCAAAUCUUGGGCAUACGGUUAAGAGCCGUAUGACUGUCAUCUGCUGUAAGGGCGGCAGAUGGGGCGCUAUCA
RNAcentral lists this non-coding RNA (176 nucleotides) under Candidatus Acetatifactor stercoripullorum. RNAcentral's name for it is "Lysine riboswitch". It matches the Rfam family "Lysine riboswitch aptamer". Rfam says of the family: Riboswitches are metabolite binding domains within certain messenger RNAs that serve as precision sensors for their corresponding targets. Allosteric rearrangement of mRNA structure is mediated by ligand binding, and this results in modulation of gene expression. This family includes riboswitches that sense lysine in a number of genes involved in lysine metabolism, including lysC. The record is from RNAcentral. Lineage: Bacteria; Bacillati; Bacillota; Clostridia; Lachnospirales; Lachnospiraceae.